Molecule: ribosomal RNA, 253 nt
Filed under: uncultured bacterium
Lineage: Bacteria
Description: partial 16S ribosomal RNA
Rfam family: Bacterial small subunit ribosomal RNA
Source: RNAcentral
UACGAAGGGGGCUAGCGUUGCUCGGAAUGACUGGGCGUAAAGGGCGCGUAGGCGGCGUGUCAAGUCAAUUGUGAAAUCUCCGAGCUUAACUCGGAACGGUCAAUUGAUACUGAUGUGCUAGAGUGCAGAAGGGGCAAUCGGAAUUCUUGGUGUAGCGGUGAAAUGCGUAGAUAUCAAGAGGAACACCUGAGGUGAAGACGGGUUGCUGGGCUGACACUGACGCUGAGGCGCGAAAGCUAGGGUAGCAAACGGG